UAAAACUUAUAAAAGCCCUUCAAGACUGGGCUGAAGAUUAUAUACUAACGCUAUUAUCCCAGCCUUUUUACUCAGAUACAAUAUACUAAAUAUUUGUUUGGCCAAUAACGUUAUUGAAGUUAAUUGGCUACACCUGCUACACCUGCAUUUCCUAGAUAACGAGAAACCUCUUUUUUCUAACGUUACUCUCUUCAGUUGUUACGUUUAUGUUAUUAAAUGCUGCGACAUUAACUACGCUCCAUGUUGACAUACUUCUUGAAGACAUGUGAGGGAAAAUAAUCAUCAUGGGAUUCAUGUUAAGAUUUGGAUGAGUCCUACAACUAUGAUGAGUACCAGAGCGAGGAGUUUUCCUACAGUGAAAACAUCCUGGAUCCUUGUCGCCCAGCGCACACUGGAGCAGUUCACCCAGGUCUGAAGUGUGAUGCGGGCCAUAGGGGAGCAUGGAGGCGGUACCAAGCAGCCAAUAGGAACAUCAAACAGCCAACCAGAAUGUCAGCUGGCCAAUGGGAUCCCCCAUCAUUGAUGUGCAAGGUGUCCUGCCCAUUUCCUGUUUCCAUGGAGCUCGGUGACAGGAGCGUCACGAUACAGAUGGUGGCGAGGAGUCUGGUGGCGAUGUACGGAGGCAGGCAGUCCUGGAAGGCCGGCUGCAAGACGUAAUUAGAGAAGGUGAGCGCGAUGACAGCCAGCGUGGUCGGAUACAUGAUGAGGACGGCACUCCAUAACAACAGGAAGCUACAGGACCAAGAGACAAAACACACAGGAUUUAUCUCCACUGCAGCAGUUGGGGUUGGGGGGCUUGCUCAAGGGCAUCUUGGCAUCAGUUAUAAGAGACUGGCGCCCAAGCAUGAGGAAGAGACAGUGAAGAAAUCACAGAUGGAAAC
Molecule: long non-coding RNA, 881 nt
Organism: Sebastes umbrosus (honeycomb rockfish)
Lineage: Eukaryota; Metazoa; Chordata; Actinopteri; Perciformes; Sebastidae
Exons: 5
Source: RefSeq, a predicted model, not a curated record